UACGUAGGGGGCAAGCGUUGUCCGGAAUUAUUGGGCGUAAAGCGCGCGCAGGCGGCUUCUUAAGUCAGGUGUGAAAGCCCACGGCUCAACCGUGGAGGGCCAUCUGAAACUGGGGAGCUUGAGUGCAGGAGAGGAGAGCGGAAUUCCACGUGUAGCGGUGAAAUGCGUAGAGAUGUGGAGGAACACCCGUGGCGAAGGCGGCUCUCUGGUCUGUAACUGACGCUGAGGCGCGAAAGCGUGGGGAGCAAACAGG
This 253-nucleotide ribosomal RNA is filed under the name uncultured bacterium. Its description in RNAcentral is "partial 16S ribosomal RNA". It matches the Rfam family "Bacterial small subunit ribosomal RNA", at positions 524 to 776 of the family's 1533-position model. The record is from RNAcentral.